UCAAGUUCGAUCUCACCUGUUGCACGAAACUAAAUCAUAUUGUUCAUGGAGAUUUACACGGAUAUGGACCUCUGGUUGCGGCCUAUUUAUAUAUCCAGAAAGGAGUUUCAUCCAUGGCUGUACUUCCACUUGGUUAGUCUAGGCCUACCAUAGGUGAUUCCAACAGAAAAAAUACCAUAGUUAAUCCCAAAAUUCCUAAUCCGUGACUACUAAUUUGCUCGUCCUUAUCCCCAAUGGAGAUUCUAGCAUCCGGAGUCU
RNAcentral lists this long non-coding RNA (258 nucleotides) under Brassica napus (rape). RNAcentral's name for it is "long non-coding RNA (BNAP_LNC001833)". The record is from RNAcentral. Lineage: Eukaryota; Viridiplantae; Streptophyta; Magnoliopsida; Brassicales; Brassicaceae.